Molecule: ribosomal RNA, 1184 nt
Filed under: Staphylococcus warneri
Lineage: Bacteria; Bacillati; Bacillota; Bacilli; Caryophanales; Staphylococcaceae
Description: bacterial SSU rRNA
Rfam family: Bacterial small subunit ribosomal RNA
Source: RNAcentral
GAUAAGGAGCUUGCUCCUUUGACGUUAGCGGCGGACGGGUGAGUAACACGUGGAUAACCUACCUAUAAGACUGGGAUAACUUCGGGAAACCGGAGCUAAUACCGGAUAACAUAUUGAACCGCAUGGUUCAAUAGUGAAAGGCGGCUUUGCUGUCACUUAUAGAUGGAUCCGCGCCGUAUUAGCUAGUUGGUAAGGUAACGGCUUACCAAGGCAACGAUACGUAGCCGACCUGAGAGGGUGAUCGGCCACACUGGAACUGAGACACGGUCCAGACUCCUACGGGAGGCAGCAGUAGGGAAUCUUCCGCAAUGGGCGAAAGCCUGACGGAGCAACGCCGCGUGAGUGAUGAAGGUCUUCGGAUCGUAAAACUCUGUUAUCAGGGAAGAACAAAUGUGUAAGUAACUGUGCACAUCUUGACGGUACCUGAUCAGAAAGCCACGGCUAACUACGUGCCAGCAGCCGCGGUAAUACGUAGGUGGCAAGCGUUAUCCGGAAUUAUUGGGCGUAAAGCGCGCGUAGGCGGUUUUUUAAGUCUGAUGUGAAAGCCCACGGCUCAACCGUGGAGGGUCAUUGGAAACUGGAAAACUUGAGUGCAGAAGAGGAAAGUGGAAUUCCAUGUGUAGCGGUGAAAUGCGCAGAGAUAUGGAGGAACACCAGUGGCGAAGGCGACUUUCUGGUCUGUAACUGACGCUGAUGUGCGAAAGCGUGGGGAUCAAACAGGAUUAGAUACCCUGGUAGUCCACGCCGUAAACGAUGAGUGCUAAGUGUUAGGGGGUUUCCGCCCCUUAGUGCUGCAGCUAACGCAUUAAGCACUCCGCCUGGGGAGUACGACCGCAAGGUUGAAACUCAAAGGAAUUGACGGGGACCCGCACAAGCGGUGGAGCAUGUGGUUUAAUUCGAAGCAACGCGAAGAACCUUACCAAAUCUUGACAUCCUUUGACUGCUCUAGAGAUAGAGUCUUCCCCUUCGGGGGACAAAGUGACAGGUGGUGCAUGGUUGUCGUCAGCUCGUGUCGUGAGAUGUUGGGUUAAGUCCCGCAACGAGCGCAACCCUUAAGCUUAGUUGCCAUCAUUAAGUUGGGCACUCUAAGUUGACUGCCGGUGACAAACCGGAGGAAGGUGGGGAUGACGUCAAAUCAUCAUGCCCCUUAUGAUUUGGGCUACACACGUGCUACAAUGGACAAA